Small nucleolar RNA from Callithrix jacchus (white-tufted-ear marmoset), 92 nucleotides. Ensembl annotates it as small nucleolar RNA, C/D box 83B. Its record names the gene SNORD83B. The record is from Ensembl. NCBI's taxonomy places the organism in Eukaryota, Metazoa, Chordata, Mammalia, Primates, Cebidae.
GCUGCUCAGUGAUGAGGCCUGGAAUGUGCGCUGGGCACAGCGCCCGAGACAGACUGCGGACCCAUUCUUGUUGCCCUGCUUCUGAGAACAGU